AAAUAGGUGGUAAGCCGAGAUGAACUUACGGU
RNAcentral lists this small RNA (32 nucleotides) under Bombyx mori (domestic silkworm). RNAcentral's name for it is "ovarian small RNA-10119". Lineage: Eukaryota; Metazoa; Arthropoda; Insecta; Lepidoptera; Bombycidae. The record is from RNAcentral.